UAUGUGUAUAAAAACUAUCCCCUCCGUGAGUUGCCACCUUAUCGUGGUGGAGGGGUUUGUGUGCUCACAUGAUCCUGGGAGCUGUUCUGUCCGGAGCUCUCAGCUCCUCGUAGGGUUUCCCACGACAGCUUGGUCCCAGGUGACGAGUCAGACGAAGAGCAAUUCAGACGACCGAAAGCUCAGGGAGGAGCGCUGUUGUUUAAAGGGGGCUUUCACACCUGAAAGUCCUCAUUUGAGGAGAGACCGGAUUGCUUCCAUUGUGUCCGUCUGCAGUCUGAGGGUAGCGGACACGUAACAGAAUCAACAAACUGAUCCGCAAGGCCAGUGACAUUGUGGGGUUGGAGCUGGACUCUCUGUUGUUGGUGUCAGAGAGGAGGAUGCUGUCUAAACUACAUGUCAUCUUGGAUUCUGGAGAUUUAUAAAUGUCCUCAUUCCAGUGCAUUUCUGUGUGCAUUUGUUUAUUUCCAGUUUACGUGGAAAACACCAAACUUCUGUAAAUAGUCUGAAAGUCCGGACCAUCAAAAAAUGCUUUCACAGUAGAAACAAACUGAACCACGGAUCCGGACCGAUACUACCUCUUUUCAUUGGACCAACUUUGGUCUAUUUGGUCGGGACAGUGGUCCGGGGGAGGUUUCAUUGAUUUUGGAAAUAACUAAAAAGUCUGAGAGUCCGGACCAAAUGAGAGGUAGGUGUGAAAGCCCUCUUAGUUACAGAUUUUCUUUAGUCCGUACCUUACGUGACGGUUGGCCCCUAUCACUGUUAAAACUGUUACUUGGAUCUAACUCAAUAAAAUUAAGACAACAUUUUCCAACUA
Micropterus salmoides (largemouth bass) is the source of this 814-nucleotide long non-coding RNA. RefSeq lists it as uncharacterized. The record is from RefSeq and is a predicted model, not a curated record. Lineage: Eukaryota; Metazoa; Chordata; Actinopteri; Centrarchiformes; Centrarchidae. The transcript is spliced from 2 exons.